GAAUAUUGCCCAAUGGACGCAAGUCUGAGGCAGCAACGCCGCGUGGGCGAUGAAGGCCUUCGGGUUGUAAAGCCCUUUUCUGGGGGAAGAGGAAGGACGGUACCUCAGGAAUAAGUCACGGCUAACUCCGUGCCAGCAGCCGCGGUAAUACGGAGGGGGCUAGCGUUGUUCGGAAUUACUGGGCGUAAAGGGCGCGUAGGCGGUUCGGUAAGUUAGGCGUGAAAGGCCUGGGCUCAACCCGGGAACUGCGCUUAAGACUGUCGGGCUGUGAGUCCGGGAGAGGAUGGCGGAAUUCCCAGUGUAGAGGUGAAAUUCGUAGAUAUUGGGAAGAACACCAGUGGCGAAGGCGGCCAUCUGGCCCGGUACUGACGCUGAGGCGCGAAAGCGUGGGGAGCAAACAG
RNAcentral lists this ribosomal RNA (401 nucleotides) under uncultured bacterium. Its description in RNAcentral is "bacterial SSU rRNA". It matches the Rfam family "Bacterial small subunit ribosomal RNA", at positions 359 to 775 of the family's 1533-position model. The record is from RNAcentral.